AGAGCAUGCAGCAGCUUCCUACAAAACUGACACCGACACAAAGGCAAAAAGACACAUUGUGACCGCAGUGGCACCUGUUACCUUAACGCAUCGCGCGUCUCCUCUUCUUUUUUCACCAAAUUCAAGCACCAUGAUAUUUGGAUCAUUAUUCCCUGGUCUUUGCCUUUGCAAUUCUAAUGCUGGCUACAGAGAGUACAGACAGACGUGCGACCUCCAUGACACAUCGUGUACCAGCUUCUGCUUUUCACUUGCAGGCCACCGGCACAUGCGCUGACAUCACACCGAGGGAAAUCAGGGAAGAUCAUGUUCCCAAGGUUUUUACUCUCGAUGAUGUGGCAUGGCCCCAAAUGACCAGACAGAAGUUCCGUGUUGACUGUUUUCACGCCAAUCCCCACAAUUAACAGCUGUCAGAUGGUCCGUUACCAAACAUCCCUGACAGAUGGGUUAUUCUGGAAAUUGCCUCUGAGGAAUUUUAUCAGCCAAUGACAUAACCAAAUUAAAACAUGUCAUAAAAAGGCGUAAUGCCACCUCAUAUUUAAUGUCUUUGUUAAAUAACAAUAUAAAAACUUUCUCACUCAUCUUCUGACAUUUAAUUUGCAUUCAGCAAUUCUCUGCAAACAGUUUGCUGUAGGAAUGGCAAAGGUUUGAUAAGACCAACUUGUUUGUAAGAAAUCCAGCCUUUGGUAGAUGAUAAAUAUUUGUCUUUUUAUUUCAGUCAGCUCCAGUGAUAAUGCAAACUCUUCUGAUGUGAAAUAAACAAAUUAAGAAAAAUGCUUUCAAAUAAUCAUGCUGUGAUUAUCUAGCCUCUGAUGCUUACAUCUAAUUCUGUUUUUUUUAUUAUCAUGCAGUGGAUUGCAUUUUGUAAGCAUGCUUUAUGGUCUUGAAA
Seriola aureovittata is the source of this 886-nucleotide long non-coding RNA. RefSeq lists it as uncharacterized. Lineage: Eukaryota; Metazoa; Chordata; Actinopteri; Carangiformes; Carangidae. The record is from RefSeq and is a predicted model, not a curated record. The transcript has 4 exons.